This 423-nucleotide ribosomal RNA is filed under the name Hoylesella oralis. RNAcentral's name for it is "bacterial SSU rRNA". It matches the Rfam family "Bacterial small subunit ribosomal RNA", at positions 28 to 431 of the family's 1533-position model. The record is from RNAcentral. Lineage: Bacteria; Pseudomonadati; Bacteroidota; Bacteroidia; Bacteroidales; Prevotellaceae.
GAUGAACGCUAGCUACAGGCUUAACACAUGCAAGUCGCGGGGCAUCAUGGAGGUUGCUUGCAAUUUCUGAUGGCGACCGGCGCACGGGUGAGUAACGCGUAUCCAACCUUCCCAUUACUACGGCAUACCCCGUUGAAAGGCGGCCUAAUUCCGUAUGCAGUCCGAAGCAGUCAUCUAAUUUGGACGAAAGGUAUAUUCUAUCGGUAAUGGAUGGGGAUGCGUCCGAUUAGCCAGCCGGCGGGGUAACGGCCCACCGGGGCAUUGAUCGGUAGGGGUUCUGAGAGGAAGGUCCCCCACACUGGAACUGAGACACGGUCCAGACUCCUACGGGAGGCAGCAGUGAGGAAUAUUGGUCAAAUGGGCGUAAAGCCUGAAACCAGCCAAAGUAGCGUGCAGGAAGACGGCCCUAUGGGGUGUAAAACU